RNAcentral lists this ribosomal RNA (404 nucleotides) under uncultured bacterium. Its description in RNAcentral is "bacterial SSU rRNA". It matches the Rfam family "Bacterial small subunit ribosomal RNA", at positions 131 to 518 of the family's 1533-position model. The record is from RNAcentral.
UCUAAGACGAGGAUAACGACUGGAAACGGUCGCUAAAACUGGAUAGGAUCAUUUGAGGCAUCUCGAAUGAUUUAAAGGGGCUUUCAAGCCACACUUAGAGAAAGGCCUGGCGGCGCAUUAGCUAGUUGGUGGGGUAGAGGCCUACCAAGGCGAUGAUGCGUAGCCGGACUGAGAGGUCGAACGGCCACAUUGGGACUGAGACACGGCCCAAACUCCUACGGGAGGCAGCAGUAGGGAAUUUUCGGCAAUGGGGGAAACCCUGACCGAGCAACGCCGCGUGAAUGAAAAGAUGUAUUUCGGUAUGUAAAGUUCUUUUAUUAAGGAAGAAUAUCACGGAUAGGAAAUGAUCUGUGAGUGACGGUACUUAAUGAAUAAGCCCCGGCUAACUAUGUGCCAGCCGCGGC